GGGUUUAUGACAAAGUUGAGCGACCUCAUGUCACUCAAACCAGCUGUAUUAAGGAAGGUGCAAGCUUUUGGGAUUUCUGUUUGGAUUUAGUUUAGGUUCAAAAGAGCACGCACAGAUCCUGAGUGUUGUCAAGCACCCGUGACUGGGAAACGGAGGCGUCCGAUCCGUAUUGGAGUCAAUUCGCCACUUAAUUGUUUCAGGGGUUACUCCAUCAUUAUCAUGGCAGGGAACAUGGCAGGAUGCAGGCAGAUGGUAGCUGAGAGUUCUACAUCUGGAUCCACAGGAAGCAGUUGAUUGAGAAUAAUGGUUCUGUUUUGGAGGUUGAUGGAAGAUGCCCUUUGGCCAGGAAAACAGCUCAUGCUUUUAGAGGAGGAUAAUUGCCAGAAGGCCUCUCUGAAUAAAAAAAAAUCCUGACCUCACAGCCUUUGCGCUUACUUGGGUUAGAAUGCCACAGUGAACAUUGCCCCUUGUCAUCACGUAGAGGUGCUCACAGGUAAAGCAACACAAGGAGCAUAUAGGAUCACCUGCUGGAUCUUGUUUUUAACACCAGGGAGGAAAAUGGUGUCUUGGGUAAUGAACAUGCCUCAAGACUGAGCUGGCCAUCUUCAGUGUCAUCCAAACCCUCAGUGGCCCCUGAAAAACCCUUUGAAAAGAUUCAGCACGUUGCCAUGGAGAACAUCCCACUGAAGGAAUGUAUAGAAGUAGCAGGGUUAACUGAGUGCCUUCCAUCUUCCCUCCAAGGGAUCUGCAAUGAGAUGGGAGAAGGCAACAGGCUGUGUGGGAACCACUGAAGCUGGGAUGGCAGGGAAAGAACAUCUUAGGCUAACUCUUCAAGCCUUGCUGUCACAUUUGCUUUUGAGUCUAUGGUGUCAGCUGCCUACCAGUUGCUUUCAUCUCUAGAAAUCUGUGACUUGCAGUAUGACAAGAACAAAAGGUGACAAUACAAAGGACAAAGGGCAAGGAAUACAGACGGAGAAGCCGCUUAGAGUCUAGGAUGGCAGAGGUUCUCUUGAUCAUUUCAUUUUUGAGCGCUUGUAGAGCUUUGGUGUACCAGAGGUGCUUGAACAGCUUACCACACCACAGAUGAAUGGCCUUUGGAUUUCUCCUAAGAAAAUGUGGCUACCUGAAAUUCAACUCCAUUUUCUGGUCUUCAAUAUUUCUUUUGUGUUCAGUUUGCCAGCUGAGGAGAAGUGGCUAAGCAUAGCCUGUUACUGAUGCUAAAGCCCAAGUUCUGAACCUAACAACUCCAGCAACAUGAUCCUGUUUCAAGAGACAAAAAAGUGACUAAUGAAAGAAAACAAUUGAUGUGCUAUGUAGAGUUUAAAAGAAGGUAAAGAGAAUAAAUUAAAAGCAACAACUCUC
Molecule: long non-coding RNA, 1362 nt
Filed under: Mus musculus (house mouse)
Lineage: Eukaryota; Metazoa; Chordata; Mammalia; Rodentia; Muridae
Description: predicted gene 14461
Source: RNAcentral